GCUCAUUUAAGCUGCAUUAGUGAACACAGAAAAUGGUACCCCAAUCUAUUAUUCUGCUAUUUGUCUUUACCUGUACCACAUAUGGAAAUGAAAUCAGACCAACUAAAACUGAGGAGUUUGCUGUUGAGGGUUCAAGUGUUACAUUAUCCUGCAGUUAUUCAUCUGCACGUUCUUUAUUCUGGUACCGUCAGUAUCCCGGGUCAGCUCCUGAAUUCCUUGUAACCAUCACAUAUAGUGCAACAGAAGCUAAGAAGUCUGAUGUAGAUCCCAGAUUCACUGCUAAACCCAACAAAGAAAAGCAAAACCAUGUGGAUCUGGAGAUCUCCUCUGCUAAAAUGACAGACUCUGCUUUGUACUACUGUGCCCUGACGCCCACAGUGACAGGAAACACAAAACCACUGUACAAAAACCUGACACAUCUGAGAAGACAAAUCUGUUUAUAGGAGGACAUUUAUAAGAGAAUACUUAAAUAUCUUUGAAAAUGAGUCAAUAUGUUUCAUACUACACACUAAAAACUUUAAGUGUUGAGCACAUGUGUACAGUUUGAGAAAUCAAAAAUAUUUAGUUACAGUAUAUAUUAAGUUGCAAAAACAAUAUUAAAUGUAUAAAAAUAUAAUUAAAUAAUAUUAUAUUCCCUGCAAUUUUAAGGACAGCAUACAAUACUGAGCUGCUAUGAUACAAUCAACAAAACUGUGCUCUUUAUAAAAUAUCAAAACAUUAAUUACACUCAUAAUAAUAAAAAUAACCCUAAUCAUCAAAAAUCAAUUUUCUGACAUAUUACACCCAUCCAUAGUGCAUGU
Cyprinus carpio (common carp) is the source of this 800-nucleotide non-coding RNA. NCBI's taxonomy places the organism in Eukaryota, Metazoa, Chordata, Actinopteri, Cypriniformes, Cyprinidae. The record is from the annotation of a RefSeq genome assembly.